Regulatory RNA element from Lasius niger, 116 nucleotides. It matches the Rfam family "ALIL pseudoknot". NCBI's taxonomy places the organism in Eukaryota, Metazoa, Arthropoda, Insecta, Hymenoptera, Formicidae. The record is from Rfam.
GGCGUAUCUUGCCCAGGCGGAACUCGACCACCAUUGGAUGAAAUAAUGCUGCUGCUUGAUGACUUGAGUGGCGAAUAGGGGUUCGGGCCAGGAUGCCGCGAAUUGGAUAUUGCCCC